RNAcentral lists this ribosomal RNA (477 nucleotides) under uncultured bacterium. RNAcentral's name for it is "bacterial SSU rRNA". It matches the Rfam family "Bacterial small subunit ribosomal RNA", at positions 16 to 518 of the family's 1533-position model. The record is from RNAcentral.
AUCCUGGCUAGGACGAACGCUGGCGGCGUGCUUAACACAUGCAAGUCGAACGGGAGUAUUGAAGAAGCUUGCUUAGAGAUACUUAGUGGCGGACGGGUGAGUAACGCGUGAGGAGCUGUCCUAUGCAGGGGGACAACAGCUGGAAACGGCUGCUAAUACCCCAUAAGCCGAGAGGUAAAAGGAUCAAUCCGGCAGAGGAGGUACUCGCGUCCUAUCAGCUAGUAGGUGAGGUAACGGCUCACCUAGGCGAAGACGGGUAGCCGGCCUGAGAGGGCGAACGGCCACACUGGAACUGAGAUACGGUCCAGACUCCUACGGGAGGCAGCAGCGGGGAAUAUUGGGCAAUGGGGGAAACCCUUGACCCAGCGACGCCGCGUGGGUGAAGAAAUCCUUCGGGAUGUAAAGCCCUGUUGUAUGGGAAGAGCGGAAGACGGUACCAUACGAGGAAGCCCCGGCAAACUACGUGCCAGCCGCUGC